RNAcentral lists this long non-coding RNA (1659 nucleotides) under Mytilus galloprovincialis (Mediterranean mussel). Lineage: Eukaryota; Metazoa; Mollusca; Bivalvia; Mytilida; Mytilidae. The record is from RNAcentral.
GGGGUAGGGUGUCCGACCCCAACUGUGGACCUACUUAAAAACAAAACUAAGCCGCACAACACCCUGGAAUUUUUCUCAUGUUGACCUCAGCUACCCAGCUUUCGCUUUGCACUUAGUGCAGACACAAUUUAUGCGUAAAACAUUUUUUAUUAACUUUUCUGUAAGGGUGGGGUAGGGUGUCCGACCCCAACUGUGGACCUACUUAAAAACAAAACUAAGCCGAACAACAACCUGGAUUUUUUCUCAUGUUGACCUCAGCUAUCCAGCUCCAUUUCCACCUAGUGCGGACAAAAAUUUUGACGUACAACAUAUUUUUAUUGACUGUUCUGUAAGGGUGGGGUAGGGUGUCCGACCCCAACUGUGGACCUACUUAAAAACAAAACUAAGCCGAAAAACACCCUGGAUUUUUUUCUCAAGUAUACCUGAGCUACUUAGCUUCCCUUUGCACGUAGUGCAGACACAAGUAUUGCCGUAGAACAUUUUUAAUUAACUUUUCUGUGUCAGACCCCAACUGUGGACCAACUUAAAAACAUAACUAAGCCGAACAACACCUUGGAUUUUUUCUCAAGUAGACCUUAGCCGCUUUGCAUACCUUUGUAACUAGUGCAGACAAAAGUGUUGCCAUAGAACAUUUUUUAUUAACUUUUCUGUAAGGGUGGGAUAGGGUGUCCGAACCCAACUUUGGACCUAGUAAACAAAAAAAAUAAGCCUGACAACACCCUGGAUUUUUUAUCAAGUAGACAUCAGCUACCCAGCUUCCCUUUGCACAUAGGGCAGUCAAAAGUAUUGCCGUAGAAUAAUUUUGUAUUACCUUUUCUGUAAGGGUGGAUAGGAUGUCCGACCCAAACUUUGGACCUAGUUUAAAAUAAAAAUUAAGCCGAACAACACCCUGAAUUUUUUAUCAAGUAACAUCAGCUACUAAGCUUCUUUUUGCACCUAGUGCGGACAAAAUUAUUGCCGUAGAACAUUUUUAAUUAACUUUUCUGUUAGGGUGCGUUAGGGUGUCCGACCGAACUGUGGACCUAUUAUACAGUAUUUAUAACAGCGCAUUAUAUAAUAUUAAAAUUACCCUAAGCGCUUUACAUAUAUUUCCAUAUACAUAUAUAAGUAUUAACAAUAAAAUAUAAAAGCCCAUGUUUAAAACUUUUAAAACAAAAAAGAUUUGAAAAAUAUAGCAAUGAUACAACAAUAAAAUUUAUAUAAAAUGGGCAUGAUAAAAUUAAGGAGAUAUUGAAUCGGUACCAAUAGAAGUAAGUUAAAACUUCAAAAUAUUUGCUUAAAAAAAUCUAAAAUAACCAAUAAAAGUAUACUUAGUUAAAAAUUCAAAAAACAUAAAAAGUAAUAUCUUAAAAAUUCAAUAUUACAAUGAUGUAGAAAUAUUUUAAGAACUAAUUAAAAGCAUGUCUGAAUAAAUGAGUUUUUAAAUUUUUCUUAAAACAAAACUAAGGCGAACAACACCCUGGAUUUUUUCCCUAGUAGACCUUAGCUACUUUGCUUACCUUUGUAACUAGUGCAGACAAAAUGAUUGCCGUAGAACAUUUUUCAUUAAUUUUUCUGUAAGGGUGGGUUAGGGUGUCCGACCCCAACUGUUGACCUACUUUAAAACAAAACUAAGCCUAACAACACCCUGGAUUUUUUCUCAAGUAGACCUCCGCUACC